Molecule: non-coding RNA, 1416 nt
Organism: Physcomitrium patens
Lineage: Eukaryota; Viridiplantae; Streptophyta; Bryopsida; Funariales; Funariaceae
Source: RefSeq, a predicted model, not a curated record
GACACACGUAUAAGACACCCUCUUAGGUCCCAGUGUCGGCAACGCCGGCUUUUUCUCCCUCGACCUUGACGAGCGUAAAUAUGACAAUGAGUAAAGCUGAAAGAAAAGACAAAGAGAAAGAAGAGGAAAAAAGGGGAAAGAAGUACAAUGCUGGAACAAAACACGGAGACAUGCACCAAUCACACCCACUGUCCUAGGCUUUUCCCAUCUAAAUCCAGAGCCUGCGAUUGUUACAAUUGUAAAGUGACUGUUCAAGGAUUGGGUGUGAGAAGAGCAGGCUGCAACCUCAUGAUCCUCGCAAUUCCUUAGCUCCGCAAUCUGCACAACUGGACGCGCUUUCUCGCAUCUAUCGCGGCGUCAGAAUCAUCCGGGAGCAGAGAUGUUGACAGAAUCUUAAUCCGGGCUUUGACCAUCCGGAGUCUGCUCACUACUUGUGACUUGGUUUCUGUGAUUCGGAAGAUACCCGGCAUCUAGCGUGCGCAUCCAGCAUGUCCGAUCGGCCAUUGGUUAUUGUACUAAGCGGCUCUUUUGAUGAAACUCAUUAAUUAUAGUCUGGAUUUAAAUUCCGAUGUUUGUGGAGCUAGCUAAAGUGUGACUGGUCGACCAGGCUCUCUUAAUGUGUAUUAUUUUCUCAUUCAUGUUAAAGUAGUGUAUGAUCCAAGUUUAGGAAUCUAGAUAACCUCUAAUGAAUCUCCAUGUUCGUUUAAUAAAAACUAGGUAGUUUCUACGGAAUACCCUCGUGUAUGUAACAUUGCUGUGCCUUUCCGAGAGUUAUCGCUCUUGUGCUUGGCCAACACGUUCGAACGCGGAGUACAGUGCUUCGAAAGCUGUGCCACCCACUGGACCUAACUGUCAUGCUUGUGAAAAUCUCUCCGGCUCAGUAUGACAAUGCUUGCUUUCUUGCAUGGCUGUCGAUGAUUACCUAGCCCAGGUCUCCCAUUAUUUGCUUGACUCUGGACUCGAUGGACGCUAUCUUCUGGACCUUCUGGGUCCGCACCCACCCUACUGUGUGUAUCGAUAAUUGUAAGGAUGAGGGGACAUGUAAUGAGGCAUUUGCUAUCAAGGGAGGAGCUCGUUGGUUGUGUGUCAAAGAAUGGUCCUGGAGACUUAGAUUUCUUCUAAGCGAGUCGGGCAGCAUGGUGUGCUUAAGUACGGUGUAUUAUUCUCACACGCCUCUGCUCAUUUUUCUCGCUGGACAUAAAGUGGUCCAACUCAAAGUAAUUUUUACACGAUGGCGGUGAGCUUUAUGAAUCCGUGAUUUCAGUCGCCAAUCCUUGAUCUUUAAGAACGGAACAUCCCUGAGGCAACCUCGAGGAAGUCCCAAGGGGAGCAACCAUAUACGCUGUUUACAGUUUCAACAAGUACUUGUUUAAACCUUUAAAAAAGAACUGAACAGAAGCUCGCGGGCUUUGAACA